This 2764-nucleotide long non-coding RNA is filed under the name Arabidopsis thaliana (thale cress). RNAcentral's name for it is "ncRNA (AT4G26542)". Lineage: Eukaryota; Viridiplantae; Streptophyta; Magnoliopsida; Brassicales; Brassicaceae. The record is from RNAcentral.
GGAGAUAAGCAAGUGCAUGGGCCACACCAAGAACGACGUCGUAUCGCGCCUCCCAAUCAACACAUCCUCCUUUUCCGGCGCCGUGAAGCCGAGAACUCAAGCUACCGUUAGGGAGAUAGUCGUAGAACAAGAGUUUCAGAUUCCGAUUAGAGCACCAACCAAGAAGACGAACGAUGUUUCUGUGACGAAUCGAUCCUAGAGUUUUAAUCUCGGAGUUAAACGCACCACUCUCUUCCUUUGACCACAUUUUCUUCACCGCGAGUGACUCGCCGGAGGGAAUCGUUAUACGGUAAACCACACCGGAGCUUCCGGUUCCGAUCACGUUUGCUGACGUCAGAUUCUUAACAAUGUCGUCGAUUGAAAAAUCGAGUUUUUGGUAAAGCGUCACUUCCCACGAAUCUAUUUCUUCUCCGAGGAGUUGUUUUCCGGCGGCUCUUGCCCGGACUAGAGUGUAAACCGCCAUGAGAACAAGUACGGCAGUGACGACGACGAGAAUUAAAAUAGUCAAUCUAACGACGGAGCUGUUCCUGGUCGUCGGGUCGGGUCGGGUCGAGAUUGCGUUCGAGAUGUAAAGCCCUCUGUUUGAGGCGAGAUCAGAAAGUGGAAGUCGCCGGAAAAAGGGCGUGUUGGGUAAAUCGCCGGAGAAAUCGUUGUAGGAGAUGUUGAGAGAGACGAGGUUUUGCAAAUCCGUUAAAACGUUUAAGUUUCCGGUGAGUUGGUUGUGAGAUACGUCGAGCACUCCAAGGUUUUUCAAGUCGGAGAAUCUAGACGGGAUUUCUCCGACGAACCUAUUGCAGCUGAGAUUAAGAGAUAUCGCCAGAGACGGGAUUUGACCCAAUUCGUCAGGGAUUUCACCAGAAAAGUCAUUUUCGCCGAGAUUGAGAAGCUGUAGACUCCGACAAGUGGAGAUUUCUCUAGGGAUUUCGCCGGAUAAUCUGUUCUUGGCGAGAUUGAGCUUUGUAAGCUCUGUCAACAAUCCUAUUCCCGGAGGCAGAGUACUGGACAGAGCAUUAUCGGAGAAAUCGAUGAACUUCAAGCUCUUUGGGAGUGUAGUACCGAGCAAUGAACCGGAGAGACUAUUCGUGUGAAGAUCGAGAAACUCGAGGCUUUCACAACCAGAGAUCGCCGGAGGGAUUGACCCGACGAGACGGUUCUCACUUAUAUCAACAAAGUUGAGAUUUUUCAGAUUCCCGAUUUCCGACGGGAUACUUCCGGCGAGUCUGUUACCGUUGAGUCUUAACCGGUAAAGAUUCGUACAGUUUCCAAUAUCCGGAGGUAUGAAACCCGACAAAUCAUUGGAGAGAAGAAGAAGCUUCGUGAGGUUUCGUAACCCGAAUAUCUCUUUUGGGAUGGAGCCAGAGAGACUGUUGUAAGAGAGAUCGAUGGCUUGAAGCUCACGACACUGGGAGAGACUUUGAGGGAUGUUUCCAGUUAACUUGUUCUGCCAUGCGAAGAACAUGGUUAAGCUUCUUAGGUUACUCAUCAAUGACGGAAUCUCUCCUGUGAUGAGAUUAUUGUCGAUCUCUAAAUGCGUCAGCUUCGUGCAAUUCGUUAGCUCUUCAGGGAUUGUUCCUGAGAUCUGGUUUACACUCAGCUGAAGCUCUUGUAGAUUCUCAAGUUUUCCGAAGCUCCUUGGGAUGGUCCCGGUGAGGAGAUUCUCGGAAAAAUCGAUAAGCCAGAGCUCGGGACAGUUCCCAAGCUCGGUUGGGAUUUUCCCAACGAGAUUGUUCUGCCAUAAAAGUAGACUCUGCAGCUUCUUUAAACCUCCAAUGGUGGUAGGGAUCGAUCCUGAGAUUGAAUUCUGAUACAAGUAGAGGUUUUGGAGCUCUGUGCAGUAUCCAAUCUCAUCCGGAAUUGGACCAGACAAGAGUGACGUGUAAAUUGCUAUUGUCUGAACACGUUUCAGGUUUCCAAUCGACGCCGGAAGUUUCCCGGAGAGACUAGUCUCAGCGAGACCAAGCAUUACAAGAUUCUCGCAGUUACCUAUCUCCCAAGGAAGCUCACCUCUUAGAUUCUUGUUCCCACCAGCACGUAAGACUUGUAGAUUCUUGAGCUCUCCGAUACUCCUUGGGAUCUCUCCGGAUAGCUUGUUGUCGAAAAGCAUAAGCUCUACGAGACCCGAAAGAUUCCCAAUCUCCAUCGGAAUAUGACCUUCUAGAUUGUUAGUGUUCAGAGACAGAGUCUUGAGUUUCUUGAGCCUGAAGAUUUCCACAGGGAUAUCACCGGAGAGAGAAUUAUCCGACAAAUCGAGUAACUCAAGCUCCGUGAAGUCUCCGAUCUCCUUGGGGAUUACUCCGGUGAGAUUCAGUGAAGAUAAAGUGAGGGAAGUAAGAGACUUGAGGCUCCGGAGACUAGUCACCGGCAGAGAACCUUGCAAGUCCAUACCUUUGAGCUGUAUCUCCGAAACUUCACCUCUACGGUUACAUUUUACGCCGACCCAAUUGCAGGGAGAUGUGUCGGCGACGUGCCAGGAGGAAAAAGCGUCGCCGGAGAUGUUCAGUUGAGACUUCCAUGACAAGAGAGCUUGACCUUGUUGGUCGAGAGAGAAACAGGGGAUGAAGAAGAAACAGAGUAGGGAUGAGAAGAAGGAGAGUCUAUAGAUAUUUGGUGGCAUCGGAGAAGACGAAGAUGAGGAAGAAGAAUGAGAGAAGUGCGUUGGGAUUGUAAAGCGAAGAACCAAUCCAUCGGUUUUGGUUUUAUUUUGUUUAUAGGAAAUAUAUAAAUAAACACAGAGCAGAGAGAGAAGUAGCAAAGGAAGGUUUUU